Molecule: small nuclear RNA, 104 nt
Filed under: Sorex araneus (European shrew)
Lineage: Eukaryota; Metazoa; Chordata; Mammalia; Eulipotyphla; Soricidae
Source: RNAcentral
GUGCUUGCUUUGGCAGCACAUACACUAAAAUUGGACCAAUGCAGAGAUUAGCAUGGCCCCGGGUCAAGGAUGACUCGCAAAUUCGUGAAGCGUUCUAUUUUGGG